UACAGAGGUGGCAAGCGUUGUUCGGAAUUACUGGGCGUUAAGGGCGCGUAGGCGGCCAUCUAAGUCAGACGUGAAAUCCCCCGGCUUAACCUGGGAACUGCGUCUGAUACUGGACGGCUUGAGUAUGGGAGAGGGAUGUAGAAUUCCAGGUGUAGCGGUGAAAUGCGUAGAUAUCUGGAGGAAUACCGGUGGCGAAGGCGGCAUCCUGGACCAUUACUGACGCUGAGGCGCGAAAGCUAGGGGAGCAAACGGG
This 253-nucleotide ribosomal RNA is filed under the name uncultured bacterium. RNAcentral describes it as "partial 16S ribosomal RNA". It matches the Rfam family "Bacterial small subunit ribosomal RNA", at positions 524 to 776 of the family's 1533-position model. The record is from RNAcentral.